GCCUACGGGAGGCAGCAGUAGGGAAUCUUCCACAAUGGGCGAAAGCCUGAUGGAGCAACGCCGCGUGGGUGAAGAAGGUCUUCGGAUCGUAAAACCCUGUUGUUAGAGAAGAAAGUGCGUGAGAGUAACUGUUCACGUUUCGACGGUAUCUAACCAGAAAGCCACGGCUAACUACGUGCCAGCAGCCGCGGUAAUACGUAGGAGGCAAGCGUUAUCCGGAUUUAUUGGGCGUAAAGGGAACGCAGGCGGCCUUUUAAGUCUGAAGGGAAAGCCUUCGGCCUAACCGGAGUAGGGCAUUGGAAAAU
This 305-nucleotide ribosomal RNA is filed under the name uncultured bacterium. RNAcentral describes it as "bacterial SSU rRNA". It matches the Rfam family "Bacterial small subunit ribosomal RNA", at positions 337 to 634 of the family's 1533-position model. The record is from RNAcentral.